AUUGAACGCUGGCGGCAGGCCUAACACAUGCAAGUCGAACGAGUGGCGGACGGGUGAGUAAUGUCUGGGAAACUGCCUGAUGGAGGGGGAUAACUACUGGAAACGGUCGCUAAUACCGCAUACCAUAAGAUGUGCCCAGGUGGGAAUAGCUAGUUGGUGGGGAAACGGCUCACAAAGGCGACGAUACCUAGCUGGUCUGCGAGGCUGACCAGCCACAGUGGAACUGAGACACGGUCCAGACUCCUACGGGAGGAAGCAGUGGGGAAUAUUGCACAAUGGGCGCAAGCCUGAUGCAGCCAUGCCGCGUGUAUGAAGAAGGCCUUCGGGUUGUAAAGUACUUUCAGCGGGGAGGCGUUACCCGCAGAAGAAGCACCGGCUAACUCCGUGCCAGCAGCCGCGGUAAUAC
RNAcentral lists this ribosomal RNA (406 nucleotides) under uncultured bacterium. RNAcentral's name for it is "partial 16S ribosomal RNA". It matches the Rfam family "Bacterial small subunit ribosomal RNA", at positions 30 to 526 of the family's 1533-position model. The record is from RNAcentral.